UNUGACUUGAGUGCAGAAGGGGAGAGUGGAAUUCCAUGUGUAGCGGUGAAAUGCGUAGAUAUAUGGAGGAACACCAGUGGCGAAAGCGGCUCUCUGGUCUAUCACUGACGCUGAGGCUNGAAAGCGUGGGUAGCGAACAGGAUUAGAUACCCUGGUAGUNCACGCCGUAAACGAUGAGUGCUAGGUGUUAGGCCCUUUCCGGGGCUUGGUGCCGGAGCUAACGCAAUAAGCACUCCGCCUGGGGAGUACGACCGCAAGGUUGAAACUCAAAGGAAUUGACGGGGGCCCGCACAAGCGGUGGAGCAUGUGGUUUAAUUCGAAGCAACGCGAAGAACCUUACCAGGUCUUGACAUCCCGAUGCUAUUCUUAGAGAUAGGAAGUUACUUCGGUACAUCGGAGACAGGUGGUGCAUGGUUGUCGUCAGCUCGUGUCGUGAGAUGUUGGGUUAAGUCCCGCAACGAGCGCAACCCUUAUUGUUAGUCGCCAUCAUUAAGUUGGGCACUCUAGCGAGACUGCCGGUAAUAAACCGGAGGAAGGUGGGGAUGACGUCAAAUCAUCAUGCCCCUUAUGACCUGGGCUACACACGUGCUACAAUGGUCGGUACAACGAGUUGCGAGCCGGUGACGGCAAGCUAAUCUCUGAAAGCCGAUCUCAGUUCGGAUUGGAGGCUGCAACUCGCCUCCAUGAAGUCGGAAUCGCUAGUAGUCGCGGAUCAGCACGCCGCGGUGAAUACGUUCCCGGGCCUUGUACACACCGCCCGUCACACCACGAGAGUUUGUAACACCCGAAGUCGGUGAGGUAACCUUUUAGGGGCCAGCCGCCUA
RNAcentral lists this ribosomal RNA (824 nucleotides) under uncultured bacterium. Its description in RNAcentral is "bacterial SSU rRNA". It matches the Rfam family "Bacterial small subunit ribosomal RNA", at positions 636 to 1459 of the family's 1533-position model. The record is from RNAcentral.